This is a non-coding RNA of Erpetoichthys calabaricus (reedfish), 407 nucleotides long. The record is from the annotation of a RefSeq genome assembly. Lineage: Eukaryota; Metazoa; Chordata; Cladistia; Polypteriformes; Polypteridae.
ACUCUCGCUGUGUUUAUAAUUUCCUGAAUGAGGUCGCACUUACAGAAUCUCCUGCAAUCAUGACUCCACUGGUGCUGCUCUCUGUCUUCCUAGCCUUCAUUCAGGACUCGAGUUGUCAGAUUUCUGUGAACCAACCAUCAGCACCAAAGUCAGUUUCCAUUGGAGGGAGUGUCACCUUCAGCUGUACCACUGGGAGUAGCGUGGGUGACUACAUGGCCUGGUACCAGCAGAGACCUGGACAAACUCCUAAACUCCUAAUCUAUAGUGCAAGCUCUCGCUAUGGUGACACCCCAAGUCGAUUCACUGGCAGUGGGUAUGGGACUUCAUUCAGUUUGACUAUCAGUGGAGUUCAGUCUGAAGACGCCGGUCACUACUACUGUCAGCAGGGCAGCAGCUACCCGAUCUGA